RNAcentral lists this ribosomal RNA (450 nucleotides) under uncultured bacterium. RNAcentral describes it as "partial 16S ribosomal RNA". It matches the Rfam family "Bacterial small subunit ribosomal RNA", at positions 354 to 796 of the family's 1533-position model. The record is from RNAcentral.
GUGGGGAAUAUUGGACAAUGGGCGAAAGCCUGAUCCAGCCAUGCCGCGUGUGUGAAGAAGGUCUUCGGAUUGUAAAGCACUUUAAGUUGGGAGGAAGGGCAGUAAGUUAAUACCUUGCUGUUUUGACGUUACCGACAGAAUAAGCACCGGCUAACUUCGUGCCAGCAGCCGCGGUAAUACGGAGGGUGCAUGCGUUAAUCGGAAUUACUGGGCGUAAAGCGCGCGUAGGUGGUUUUGUAAGUUGGAGGUGAAAGCCCCGGGCUCAACCUGGGAACUGCCUCGAAAACUGCAUGACUAGAGUGCGGUAGAGGGUAGUGGAAUUUCCUGUGUAGCGGUGAAAUGCGUAGAUAUAGGAAGGAACACCAGUGGCGAAGGCGACUACCUGGACUGAUACUGACACUGAGGUGCGAAAGCGUGGGGAGCAAACAGGAUUAGAUACCCGUGUAGUCC